RNAcentral lists this ribosomal RNA (437 nucleotides) under uncultured Oscillospiraceae bacterium. RNAcentral describes it as "bacterial SSU rRNA". It matches the Rfam family "Bacterial small subunit ribosomal RNA", at positions 341 to 792 of the family's 1533-position model. The record is from RNAcentral. Lineage: Bacteria; Bacillati; Bacillota; Clostridia; Eubacteriales; Oscillospiraceae.
ACGGGAGGCAGCAGUGGGGAAUAUUGGGCAAUGGGCGAAAGCCUGACCCAGCAACGCCGCGUGAAGGAAGAAGGUCUUCGGAUUGUAAACUUCUUUUAUAAGGGACGAAGAAAGUGACGGUACCUUAUGAAUCAGCCACGGCUAACUACGUGCCAGCCGCCGCGGUAAUACGUAGGUGGCAAGCGUUAUCCGGAUUUACUGGGUGUAAAGGGCGCGUAGGCGGGGAUGCAAGUCAGAUGUGAAAUCUAUGGGCUUAACUCAUAAACUGCAUUUGAAACUGUAUCUCUUGAGUGCUGGAGAGGUAAGCGGAAUUCCUAGUGUAGCGGUGAAAUGCGUAGAUAUUAGGAGGAACACCAGUGGCGAAGGCGGCUUACUGGACUGUAACUGACGUUGAGGCUCGAAAGCGUGGGGAGCAAACAGGAUUAGAUACCCUGGUA